RNAcentral lists this ribosomal RNA (357 nucleotides) under Triticum aestivum (bread wheat). Its description in RNAcentral is "partial small subunit ribosomal RNA". Lineage: Eukaryota; Viridiplantae; Streptophyta; Magnoliopsida; Poales; Poaceae. The record is from RNAcentral.
AUGGACGGGAUCCACCCUGGAGCGCCUGCAUCGCCGCCACGCCUCGUCUUCUUCUUCCUCGGCUCCGACGCACUCCGCGACGGUUCGGAGCCAGCGAGCCUUCCCCGAGCUUCCUUUUGCACACCUACAGGCUCCCGGAGCCAGACGCCACCAUUGAUGAUGACUCCUACUACUCGGGAGGUGCCUACUACUACGUGCAGCCCGCUGACGACGACCAGGAGUAGUUUAGGAGGACCCCAGGCAGGAGGCAUGCGCCUCUUUCGAUUUGUAUCCCGGUUUGUGCUAGCCUUCUUAAGGCAAACUUGUUUAACUUAUGUCUGUACUCAGAUAUUGUUGCUUCCGCUGACUCGUCUAUGA